UACGUAGGUGACCAGCGUUGUCCGGAUUUACUGGGCGUAAAGAGCGCGCAGGCGGUCGUUCAAGUCGAGUGUGAAAGCCCCCGGCUCAACUGGGGAGGGUCACUCGAUACUGAUCGACUUGAAGGCAGGAGAGGGAAGCGGAAUUCCCGGUGUAGUGGUGAAAUGCGUAGAUAUCGAGAGGAACACCGGUGGCGAAGGCGGCCUUCUGGACAGUGACUGACGCUGAGACGCGAAAGCGUGGGGAGCAAACAGG
This 253-nucleotide ribosomal RNA is filed under the name uncultured bacterium. Its description in RNAcentral is "partial 16S ribosomal RNA". It matches the Rfam family "Bacterial small subunit ribosomal RNA", at positions 524 to 776 of the family's 1533-position model. The record is from RNAcentral.